GAUGAACGCUGGCGGCGUGCCUAACACAUGCAAGUCGAACGGAGUCCAGCCUUAGAGACCUUGGGGUCAAAGAGGGGAAGACUGAGUGGCGGACGGGUGAGUAACACGUGGGCAACCUGGCUCAUCGAGGGGGAUAACAGAGAGAAAUUUCUGCUAAUACCGCAUAAGCACACACUGGCGCAUGGCAGAGGGUGAAGAGAGAAUCGCGAUGAAAUGGCCCCGCGUCUGAUUAGCCAGGUGGCAGUGUCAGAGCCUACCAAAGCGACGAACAGUAGCCGAGGGGGUAGGCUGAACGGCCACAUUUGGACUGAGACACGGACCAAUCUGCUACGGGAGGCAGCAGUGGGGGAUAUUGCACAAUGGGGGGAAACCUGGUGAAGCGGCGCCGCGGGAGUGAAGAAGUAUUUCGGUAUCCAAAGCCGUAUCAGCAGGGAAGAUAAUGACAGUACCUGAAUAAGAAGCCCCGGCUAACUACGUG
Molecule: ribosomal RNA, 478 nt
Filed under: uncultured bacterium
Lineage: Bacteria
Description: partial 16S ribosomal RNA
Rfam family: Bacterial small subunit ribosomal RNA
Source: RNAcentral